GUGUGACUGCGGAUCCAACGAUUCUCAACAUACUUCAUUGUAAAAGAAAUGGUUAUUAAUAAAUUUCUUAUGUCGACGGAGCUGGACCUAAAUAACAUUGAUCAGCAAAAUUUCCUACAUGCCAGUGACCGUGUAUACAAGCGGACAAAGCCCUUAUACACAAAAUAAAUGCAAAA
Drosophila suzukii is the source of this 176-nucleotide non-coding RNA. The record is from RefSeq and is a predicted model, not a curated record. NCBI's taxonomy places the organism in Eukaryota, Metazoa, Arthropoda, Insecta, Diptera, Drosophilidae.